RNAcentral lists this non-coding RNA (68 nucleotides) under Sulfuricella denitrificans. RNAcentral describes it as "SAH sequence". It matches the Rfam family "SAH (S-adenosyl-L-homocysteine) riboswitch aptamer". Lineage: Bacteria; Pseudomonadati; Pseudomonadota; Betaproteobacteria; Nitrosomonadales; Sulfuricellaceae. RNAcentral also lists the same sequence under 1 other name. The record is from RNAcentral.
CCAACCGAGGAGCGCUGCAACGGAUUUCUUCCGUCAGGCUCGGCUUCCAAACACCGCGCUUACCUGAU